UACGUAGGGUGCAAGCGUUAAUCGGAAUUACUGGGCGUAAAGCGUGCGCAGGCGGUUAUGUAAGACAGAUGUGAAAUCCCCCGGGCUCAACCUGGGAACUGCAUUUGUGACUGCAUCGCUGGAGUGCGGCAGAGGGGGGUGGAAUUCCGCGUGUAGCAGUGAAAUGCGUAGAGAUGCGGAGGAACACCGAUGGCGAAGGCAGCCCCCUGGGCUAACACUGACGCUCAGGCACGAAAGCGUGGGGAGCAAACAGG
Molecule: ribosomal RNA, 254 nt
Filed under: uncultured bacterium
Lineage: Bacteria
Description: partial 16S ribosomal RNA
Rfam family: Bacterial small subunit ribosomal RNA
Source: RNAcentral